Molecule: ribosomal RNA, 383 nt
Filed under: uncultured microorganism
Description: bacterial SSU rRNA
Rfam family: Archaeal small subunit ribosomal RNA
Source: RNAcentral
GCGCAGCAGUCGAGAAACCUCCGCAAUGCGGGAAACCGCGACGGGGGACCCCGAGUGCCGUGGCAACGCCACGGCUUUUCCGGAGUGUAAAAGCUCCGGGAAUAAGGGCUGGGCAAGGCCGGUGGCAGCCGCCGCGGUAAUACCGGCGGCCCGAGUGGUGGGCCGCUAUUAUUGGGCCUAAAGCGUCCGUAGCCGGGCCCGUAAGUCCCUGGCGAAAUCCCACGGCUCAACCGUGGGGCUUGCUGGGGAUACUGCGGGUCUUGGGACCGGGAGAGGCGGGGGGUACCCCUGGGGGUAGGGGUGAAAUCCUAUAAUCCCAGGGGGACCGCCAGUGGCGAAGGCGCCCCGCUGGAACGGGUCCGACGGUGAGGGACGAAGGGCCA